Molecule: long non-coding RNA, 537 nt
Organism: Dioscorea cayenensis subsp. rotundata (Guinea yam)
Lineage: Eukaryota; Viridiplantae; Streptophyta; Magnoliopsida; Dioscoreales; Dioscoreaceae
Exons: 4
Source: RefSeq, a predicted model, not a curated record
CUUUAAUGAGGCCCACCACCCCACCACCGAUACUGACUUCAAAGUUCAAACGAGCAUAAAAAAAAAUUUCACCACAUCCCAUCCACACCACACCCAACCCAGUGCAGCACUACUACUGUACUGUCUACCAUAGUUUGAAUUUUGAAUAGCGAACAGCCAGCCUCUCUGCUGCUACCGCUGCUGCUGGUGCUGGAGGCUGCUCACUGAUAUACUGAUAGCAGUGUCCUCCCUUCAUUCAUCCGCUGCCGCCGCCGCCGCCGCCGCCGCCGCCGCCGCCUCCUCUCUGAUCCAGCCAAUUAGCCCAAAGAUAUCGUGAUCAUGCUUGCGUUGUGAGCUUUGGCAUUUGAGCUAUCUGUUUGUCUUCCUCUGCAGUCUGCACCAUGAACUUGCAUUCUCUUUCCUCACAUUCUCAUUACCCCAAGCCAAAUUUUUUCCCGGAGAAAUACACAGAUUAUGCCAACAAAGGCAAGAUCGAUACUUCUUGUGCUUCAGAGGUGAAUGGUUCAAUCAUGGAUGCCAAAAUAUCCAAGACACGCA